This 437-nucleotide ribosomal RNA is filed under the name denitrifying bacterium W41b. RNAcentral describes it as "bacterial SSU rRNA". It matches the Rfam family "Bacterial small subunit ribosomal RNA", at positions 12 to 494 of the family's 1533-position model. Lineage: Bacteria; Pseudomonadati; Pseudomonadota; Alphaproteobacteria. The record is from RNAcentral.
UUUGAUCUGGCUCAGAGCGAACGCUGGCGGCAGGCUUAACACAUGCAAGUCGAGCGGGCGUAGCAAUACGUCAGCGGCAGACGGGUGAGUAACGCGUGGGAACGUACCUUUUGGUUCGGAACAACACAGGGAAACUUGUGCUAAUACCGGAUAAGCCCUUACGGGGAAAGAUUUAUCGCCGAAAGAUCGGCCCGCGUCUGAUUAGCUAGUUGGUGAGGUAAUGGCUCACCAAGGCGACGAUCAGUAGCUGGUCUGAGAGGAUGAUCAGCCACAUUGGGACUGAGACACGGCCCAAACUCCUACGGGAGGCAGCAGUGGGGAAUAUUGGACAAUGGGGGCAACCCUGAUCCAGCCAUGCCGCGUGAGUGAUGAAGGCCCUAGGGUUGUAAAGCUCUUUUGUGCGGGAAGAUAAUGACGGUACCGCAAGAAUAAGCCCC